This is a long non-coding RNA of Bos taurus (domestic cattle), 3531 nucleotides long. Lineage: Eukaryota; Metazoa; Chordata; Mammalia; Artiodactyla; Bovidae. The record is from Ensembl.
GGUAUUCAGAAUGCAUGUAUAUUUACAGAAUAGCACACACACAAAUGGACAAUACAUGAAAAGAUGCUCAACACCAUUAGUCCUCAAGAAAAUGAAAUGCAAAUCAGAAUGAAGUAACCAUGCUAACAAAUGAUUAAAGUUAAAAAUGACAGGUAAUAUCAAGUCAUGCCAGCACAAAUUUGGAGAAGCUGGAACUGCUGUGGUAUAUGGUGCAACCACUCUGAAACAGACUGUUUCUUACAAAGAUAAUACCCUAUGGCCAUAUUACUCAGUAUUGCCACUCCUACUCACUUAUCCAAGGGAAGUUAAAAUAUAUUUCCAGAAAUGGACUUGUAUUAAUAGUGCUCUUAGCAACUUUAUUUACAAUGGCCAAAAAUGGAAAGAAUCCAAAUACCCACCAGCAGGAAUGAGCAAAUAAGUUGUGGCAUUUUUUGACAAGAAAGUGAAAUAUUGAUACACAUGAGAAGAGGAAAAAUAUUCAAAACCAUUAUACUGAGUGAAAAGAAGACAUAUAGGGGAAUACAUACUGGAAAAGUCCAUUUAGAUGUAGUUCUUGAGAGGGUGAAAUUAAUCUAUAGUGAUGGAGAUCAACUCAGUGGUACCUGGAGUAGAGUUUAUGUGGGGAAUUGACUGCAAUGGACAAAAAGGAACUUCUGGAGGGUGCUGAAAGUUCUAUAUCUUGAGUAGGAGAGUUAUUUAUACAGGUAUAUUUAUUUGUUAAUAUGUUUAAGUUGUAUACAUACAAUGAAUGCUUUUUUCAUGUAAAUUAUAAUUCAAUAUUUGAUUAAAAAUAGAACAAUGAAAAAUUAUUAAGAUAUUUACAGUAAGCUACUCAUACAUUUUUAAAAUACAAGCAGUGCAUAUUUAAUGGAUUCACUGAUUAUAGUACGUAUGUAAAAUCAUAAAUAGUAAUGUAAGGGCAUCAGAAUCGUGAUUUCCUCUGACAUGGGAGGAACUCAGGGAGGAAGAUGAACUGCCAUGAAAUCAAGGGGCCCACAAGGGUUUCAAAUGCAUUUGUAAAUUUUGUUUUAAAGUCUAAAGCUUAUACGGCCACAUAGAUUUGUUAAAAUUAAGUAAUGAAUAAAAAACAUUAUUCUUUAAAGUUUUGUGUUUGAAAUAUUUCAUAAUUUUAAAAGUGAGUAUAAUUUAAACUUUAGUAACUUAUUACAAUGAUGUAAAUGUUUAUGUACUGUUUUCACUAAUCUAUCAAAGUAUCCUGCUCAUCUGCUUGAAUGAGGGCAAUAUGAAGCAAAAUGUUUACUUUAUUAUUUACUCCAUUCCCAAAGGACUAGCAAUCAGUGUUUUAACAUUAAAAAUAAAACCUGACAUACUGCAAGUGCUUUCCACAGGAUUCACUAGUUCUUAUUCACCUAGUAUUUAUAGUUCACUAAAAACUAUAUUCGUAUUCACUUAGUAUUUAUAGUUUCGGGUGAACUGCCAUGGAAGAUGUGAAUCCACUUGCUGGACUCUUAUACUGGAAAACAGAGCUUCAUCAGUCUAAGGGCACCACAUUCAUAAAGUUGGUGCAUACUAACAGGAUCAACAUCUAUUUCUCAGAGUUGUUAUUUAUAUUUUAAAGAAUACACUUACAAUUGUGAUAUGAAUCAUUUGCAUGAAAUAGACUUAUAAUUCCAUUUACCAUGAAUAAUAAUAGCUUUCUCUAAUGAAUCAUUAUGUGCCAAGCAUUCUUCUAAGGAUUUUAUAAAUAUUAAUCUCCUGACAAUUCAUGGUAGUAGGUAUCAUGAUUUGCCUUUUACAAAUGAGAAAACAACAGCGAAAAAAAUGGUUAAAUAACCUGCCCAGGUUUACACAUCAAAUAGGUGAAACUGCCCAGAACUGAAACUGGAACUCUGACGUUAGAGGCUACAGCAUCAGCUACCACACAUCACUGCAUCACCUAGAGACCAUCAGAUACACAGUGGCUUUGAUCUCACCUAUUUGGACACAGAACAUACAUGUGAACGCUCAUUACUCUCAUCCUUAAGAACAGACGUUUCUGAAUAUCUAAAAUAAGCCCUUUUAUGCAAGUUUUUCAUGCGAUAUAGUCAGCCAGUGGUAGUGCUACCCUCUGAAUUAAAGUAUCACGUUUGAUAUUCUUCCUGCAAUUUGCUGCCUCCUCCAAUAUGUAUUGAUUCAAACCAAGAUGUACUGUUUUCCCAAAUCUCAGGAACUCGUUGCCAGAUUUCUCUCCCUAGCUCUCAGCUCUAUUAUUUUACCCAUCCAAUUUGGCAGCCUGACAUUGCCUAUUAAGUUAAACUCAGAAAGUGUUUUUCCCAGUCUUACUCCAAUUUUCCAGACCUAAGCCAAACUAUGAUACUUCCUGCCUUAACACACCCUACACGUUAUCAAUACCCUGCUUUAGCUCCGGUAUUCUCAACAGAUCUUAUCCUCCACUCACGUUCCCCCUCUUACUAGAUAGUCCUUAUUCACAAGCAGCUGACAAACUUUUUCUCACAAUUUGAACCUCAUUGCAUUUUGUAUAACAUCAUCUUCUGCAUGAGAUGUACCUGAACUAAUACGUGCAAUUGGAAAGUUUCCCUUAGAAGAAGUAAAAUAAUGUGGCCUACGCAGCAGUGUAUUUUCUUACCAAUCUCCACUUGCUAAAAUAUCUUCUCAAGGAGCAAACAAGCACUACUGGGUCAAAGAUAAAUGAAAGUAGGGGAGCAGGGACACUGAGCAGACAGUAAUUUGUCAUUUAUUCAGGAUCACCAGUUACCCAGAAUGAAACUAAGAUCUUAACAGUAUGCAGACAAAAAUCCUUUGAACAACUGAAAGUACAAAAAGGAAUUCUGUACAAUCGGACGACAUACUAAAAACUAGUUCAAUAGUACUUUUUGUCUUAUAGACACUUCAGCAAACAUGAUUUCCCCGUACACAGCAGUUUGUAAACAGAGUUAAUGGCCAAUAUCCUUAUAUUGUGUGCAUACCAACACACAUCUCACUUCCUAAAAGCAUGUAAGCCUUCAAAACAUAAAACUUGGGGAUCACUUAUAGAAAUUCAACAUAUUUCAACAGCCACUGAAAUAUUACAGCCAAAGUACUCAAAACAUUUUUUUAAUUACAUUAUAUUUACUCCAUAAGGAGAAAGGUAGGGGUUUAACAUGUUUUUUUCCCCCCCCUCAAAGACUCCAUCAAAACUAAUUAGACUAUAAAAGCAGGGAGGCACAGUUUCAAAAGAAACUUGGAACCAAAUAUCCCACGAGGUGAGACAGGUGCUGAGAUGUAGAGGCGGGUCUGGCCUCGGCUGCCAAUCUGUACACACACGGAGGCAGCCACCAGGGCCAGAGAGGACAGUAAGCAACAGCAGGUGGUGAGUCCGGCAGGAGGCAUCGCAUCACAGCGGGCAGGUGGGGCAAGGCUGAAGAGAAGCCAGGAGCUGGCACCGCUCAGAUCCAGGAAAGCUGGAGGAAGGGAAGCGGGUCACGAGGAGUCAGGGUCCUACUGGCCAGCCAGGCUUAGAAGCAUCGCCCUUCCUCGGGGGCAGACACAAAGUAGACAGACUCAGGCUGGCUUCAAUAACCCCUCACUUUC